RNAcentral lists this transfer RNA (104 nucleotides) under Candidatus Woesearchaeota archaeon. Its description in RNAcentral is "tRNA-Arg". It matches the Rfam family "tRNA". Rfam says of the family: Transfer RNA (tRNA) molecules are approximately 80 nucleotides in length. Lineage: Archaea; Nanobdellati; Candidatus Woesearchaeota. The record is from RNAcentral.
GGGCUAGUAGCUCAGCUUGGAGAGUAAUCAGAUUGCGUUACUCGCGCAAAUAGAGCGCCUGCCUUCUAAGCAGGAGGUCGGGGGUUCGAAUCCUCCCUGGCCCG